UUGCGGUUAAAAAGCUCGUAGUUGGAUUUCUGUUGAGGAUGACCGGUCCGCUCUUUGAGCGCGUAUCUGGUUCAGCCUUGGCAUCCUCUUGGGGAACGCUACUGUGCUUGAUUGCAUGGGGCGGUAUUCAAGACUUUUACUUUGAGGAAAUUAGAGUGUUCACUGCAAGCGUUAGCAAUUGAAUACAUUAGCAUGGAAUAAUAAUAUAGGACCUUGGUACUAUUUUGUUGGUUUCUAGAACUAAGGUAAUGAUUAAUAGGGACAAUUGUGGGCAUUCGUAUUAACGCGUCAGAGGUGGAAUUCUUAGAUUGCGUUACGACGAACUACUGCGAAAGCAUUUGCCAAGGAUGUUUUCAUUGAUCAAGAACGAAAGUAUGGGGAUCGAAGACGCUUAGAUACCGUCGUAGUCUAUACCAUAAACUAUGCCAACUAGAGAUUGGAGGUCGUUCUCUUUAUGACUCCUUCAGCACCUUAUGAGAAAUCAAAGUCUUUGGGUUCCGGGGGGAGUAUGGUCGCAAGGCUGAAACUUAAAGGAAUUGACGGAAGGGCACCACCAGGAGUGGAGCCUGCGGCUUAAUUUGACUCAACACGGGAAAACUUACCAGUCCAGACAU
This 614-nucleotide ribosomal RNA is filed under the name uncultured marine eukaryote. RNAcentral's name for it is "SSU rRNA". It matches the Rfam family "Eukaryotic small subunit ribosomal RNA", at positions 613 to 1231 of the family's 1831-position model. The record is from RNAcentral.